UCCCCCAAAAGGCUUACAGUUGCAAAGAUAUGGUCCAAAAAAGUGCAGACUCCGGAAAAAAGUAUUUGUUAAUGCAGCAGAUUUCAUUAUGUGCAUGAAAGUGCCUCAGUGUGACACACCUCUUAUGACAAGGAUAUCAGAAAGCCUGGCCAGAUACACUUUUCAUCGGACUCUGUCACGCUCCUCAACUGGACUGUCGACUGAAUGAAGACGGAGGAACCUACAGAAAGUAUUUGUUGCUUUGCAGAAGAAUUUGGAUUUUGGUUGAUUCCUUGUGUACAAACACAGCUUGGAUUUUCUUUUCUAAAACCUUGUUUCCAUAUGUGUUGAUGCUUGC
Molecule: non-coding RNA, 337 nt
Organism: Poecilia reticulata (guppy)
Lineage: Eukaryota; Metazoa; Chordata; Actinopteri; Cyprinodontiformes; Poeciliidae
Source: RefSeq, a predicted model, not a curated record